UCAUUACAAGAGAGUUGCCUGGGCCAGUGU
This 30-nucleotide non-coding RNA is filed under the name Macaca fascicularis (crab-eating macaque). Lineage: Eukaryota; Metazoa; Chordata; Mammalia; Primates; Cercopithecidae. The record is from RNAcentral. RNAcentral also lists the same sequence under 1 other name.